CCUACGGUGUGCUGCAGUGGGGAAUAUUGGACAAUGGGCGAAAGCCUGAUCCAGCCAUGCCGCGUGUGUGAAGAAGGCCUUCGGGUUGUAAAGCACUUUCAGUGGGGAAGAAAGCCUUGGGGCUAAUACCCUCGAGGAAGGACAUCACCCACAGAAGAAGCACCGGCUAACUCCGUGCCAGCAGCCGCGGUAAUACGGAGGGUGCGAGCGUUAAUCGGAAUUACUGGGCGUAAAGCGCGCGUAGGCGGUCUGAUAAGCCGGUUGUGAAAGCCCCGGGCUCAACCUGGGAACGGCAUCCGGAACUGUCAGGCUAGAGUGCAGGAGAGGAAGGUAGAAUUCCCGGUGUAGCGGUGAAAUGCGUAGAGAUCGGGAGGAAUACCAGUGGCGAAGGCGGCCUUCUGGACUGACACUGACGCUGAGGUGCGAAAGCGUGGGUAGCAAACAGGAUUAGAUACCCCGGUAGUC
This 465-nucleotide ribosomal RNA is filed under the name Vreelandella stevensii. Its description in RNAcentral is "partial 16S ribosomal RNA". It matches the Rfam family "Bacterial small subunit ribosomal RNA", at positions 338 to 795 of the family's 1533-position model. Lineage: Bacteria; Pseudomonadati; Pseudomonadota; Gammaproteobacteria; Oceanospirillales; Halomonadaceae. The record is from RNAcentral.